This 107-nucleotide small nuclear RNA is filed under the name Myotis davidii. The record is from RNAcentral. Lineage: Eukaryota; Metazoa; Chordata; Mammalia; Chiroptera; Vespertilionidae.
GUGCUCGCUUCGGCAGCACAUAUACUAAAAUUGGAACAAUACAGAGAAGAUUAGUAUGGCCCCUGCAUAAGGAUGACUCGCAAAUUCCUGAAGCAUUCCAUAUUAAA